Molecule: ribosomal RNA, 468 nt
Filed under: uncultured bacterium
Lineage: Bacteria
Description: partial 16S ribosomal RNA
Rfam family: Bacterial small subunit ribosomal RNA
Source: RNAcentral
GACGAACGCUGGCGGCGUGCUUAACACAUGCAAGUCGAACGGAAGGGCCCUGCUUUUGUGGGGUGCUCGAGUGGCGAACGGGUGAGUAACACGUGAGUAACCUGCCCUUGACUUUGGGAUAACUUCAGGAAACUGGGGCUAAUACCGGAUAGGAGCUCCUGCUGCAUGGUGGGGGUUGGAAAGUUUCGGCGGUUGGGGAUGGACUCGCGGCUUAUCAGCUUGUUGGUGGGGUAGUGGCUUACCAAGGCUUUGACGGGUAGCCGGCCUGAGAGGGUGACCGGCCACAUUGGGACUGGGAUACGGCCCAGACUCCUCCGGGAGGCAGCAGUGGGGAAUAUUGCACAAUGGGCGGAAGCCUGAUGCAGCAACGCCGCGUGCGGGAUGACGGCCUUCGGGUUGUAAACCGCUUUCGCCUGUGACGAAGCGUGAGUGACGGUAAUGGGUAAAGAAGCACCGGCUAACUACGUG